This 69-nucleotide transfer RNA is filed under the name Ovis aries (sheep). It matches the Rfam family "tRNA". Rfam says of the family: Transfer RNA (tRNA) molecules are approximately 80 nucleotides in length. Their secondary structure includes four short double-helical elements and three loops (D, anti-codon, and T loops). Lineage: Eukaryota; Metazoa; Chordata; Mammalia; Artiodactyla; Bovidae. The record is from Rfam by way of RNAcentral.
CCUGGUGGCUCAGAGGGUAAAGCAUCUGCCUGCAAUGCAGGAGAUCCAGGUUCGAUCCCUGGGUCAGGA